UGGGGAAUUUUGGACAAUGGGCGAAAGCCUGAUCCAGCAAUGCCGCGUGUGUGAAGAAGGCCUUCGGGUUGUAAAGCACUUUUGUCCGGAAAGAAAUGGCUCUGGUUAAUACCUGGGGUCGAUGACGGUACCGGAAGAAUAAGGACCGGCUAACUACGUGCCAGCAGCCGCGGUAAUACGUAGGGUCCAAGCGUUAAUCGGAAUUACUGGGCGUAAAGCGUGCGCAGGCGGUUGUGCAAGACCGAUGUGAAAUCCCCGAGCUUAACUUGGGAAUUGCAUUGGUGACUGCACGGCUAGAGUGUGUCCGAGGGGGGUAGAAUUCCACGUGUAGCAGUGAAAUGCGUAGAGAUGUGGAGGAAUACCGAUGGCGAAGGCAGCCCCCUGGGAUAACACUGACGCUCAUGCACGAAAGCGUGGGGAGCAAACAGG
Molecule: ribosomal RNA, 429 nt
Filed under: bacterium
Lineage: Bacteria
Description: partial 16S ribosomal RNA
Rfam family: Bacterial small subunit ribosomal RNA
Source: RNAcentral